GAAAUGCGAUAAGUAAUGUGAACUGCAGAAUUCAGUGAAUCAUCGAAUCUUUGAACGCACAUUGCGCCCGCCAGCACUCUGGCGGGCAUGCCUGUUCGAGCGUCAUUUCAACCCUCAGAACCCCUUGCGGGAUCUGGCGUUGGGGAUUGGCAUCCAGCCAGCCCCGAAAUCUAGCGGCGGUCCCUCCGCGACCUCCCCUGUGCAGUAGCGAUACCUCGCAGCGGGACAGCGGUCUGACCACGCCGUAAAACCCCCAACUUCUCAAGGUUGACCUCGAAUCAGGUAGGAAUACCCGCUGAACUUAAGC
This 307-nucleotide unclassified non-coding RNA is filed under the name plant metagenome. RNAcentral describes it as "partial contains 5.8S ribosomal RNA, internal transcribed spacer 2, and large subunit ribosomal RNA". The stretch from base 1 to 105 matches the Rfam family "5.8S ribosomal RNA", at positions 50 to 154 of the family's 154-position model. The record is from RNAcentral.